Molecule: ribosomal RNA, 497 nt
Filed under: uncultured bacterium
Lineage: Bacteria
Description: partial 16S ribosomal RNA
Rfam family: Bacterial small subunit ribosomal RNA
Source: RNAcentral
GACGAACGCUGGCGGCGUGCCUAAUACAUGCAAGUUGAGCGCUGAAGGUUGGUACUUGUACCAACUGGAUGAGCAGCGAACGGGUGAGUAACGCGUGGGGAAUCUGCCUUUGAGCGGGGGACAACAUUUGGAAACGAAUGCUAAUACCGCAUAAAAACUUUAAACACAAGUUUUAAGUUUGAAAGAUGCAAUUGCAUCACUCAAAGAUGAUCCCGCGUUGUAUUAGCUAGUUGGUGAGGUAAAGGCUCACCAAGGCGAUGAUACAUAGCCGACCUGAGAGGGUGAUCGGCCACAUUGGGACUGGGACACGGCCCAAACUCCUACGGGAGGCAGCAGUAGGGAAUCUUCGGCAAUGGACGAAAGUCUGACCGAGCAACGCCGCGGGAGUGAAGAAGGGUUUCGGAUCGUAAAACUCUGUUGGUAGAGAAGAACGUUGGUGAGAGUGGAAAGCUCAUCAAGUGACGGUAACUACCCAGAAAGGGACGGCUAACUACGUG